GCGGGAUUCGUAUAAUGGCUAUUAUGUCACCCUUCCAAGGUGAAGAUGCCAGUUCGAUUCUGGUAUCCCGCUCCA
RNAcentral lists this transfer RNA (75 nucleotides) under Parcubacteria group bacterium GW2011_GWA2_38_13b. RNAcentral describes it as "tRNA-Gly". It matches the Rfam family "tRNA". From Rfam's summary of the family: Transfer RNA (tRNA) molecules are approximately 80 nucleotides in length. Their secondary structure includes four short double-helical elements and three loops (D, anti-codon, and T loops). The record is from RNAcentral.